Molecule: non-coding RNA, 45 nt
Organism: Strongylocentrotus purpuratus (purple sea urchin)
Lineage: Eukaryota; Metazoa; Echinodermata; Echinoidea; Camarodonta; Strongylocentrotidae
Source: Rfam
CCAACGGUCCUUUUUAGGACUACACACCCUCAAGGAAGAUAACCG